RNAcentral lists this long non-coding RNA (776 nucleotides) under Arabidopsis thaliana (thale cress). RNAcentral's name for it is "long non-coding RNA (ATHA_LNC000557)". Lineage: Eukaryota; Viridiplantae; Streptophyta; Magnoliopsida; Brassicales; Brassicaceae. The record is from RNAcentral.
GAAUAAUUGGUAUCUAGAAAAAAAACAAAGACCCGGAAAAAAAAAGUUAUCCUAGAUAAACGAACUGGAUUCAUGUUCAAUUUCUCUCCGAUCCAAGUUGGAAACUAAUUCUCCUUUAGUGUGAAGAACUUGAUCAGAUUAAAAUCGGGUCAAUCGAUAUGUAAGUGAUUUUGACUCUUUACUGAUUAUUUACUUAUCAAAUUCUUUGGCUCCUCUCCAAUGGAGGAAUCCAAAGACGAUUUCGUAUCUGUAGACGCGAAUAAUCUAGUUCGGCCCCGAACCGUGAAGUAGAAUACUGUCCCCUACACUAUUCCAGAGUGGAGUGGCCCUCCGUGUCACCAAUUUCAGCUUGAAGUUCUCAAAGAAGGCGCCAUUGUUGAGAAAUUAGACGUGUAAGUAAACUCAAACUCUUAUGAAUCUAUUACCCUCUAAAGCUUUAAGGCUUCUGAUUGAAUUAGGAAGGAAAUGGUAUGUAAUUCGUAUUUGUUCACUUUGCAGCUAUAAGAGAGGAGCUUACUUGUGCUUGCUGCUUGUGUCAAAUUGGUGUAUCUAAUUUGACUUUUUAAUGUUAUGGUUCUGAUACUAGAUAAUAUUGUUAUCAUGUAUCUCUCUAGGAAGUAAAAGAGGCCAAAGAUGGAUUUAUUAUGAUUCAUUUGAUUAAAUCUCAAUAUAUGUGAACUAAGUUUUGAUCAUAUUUUUGGUGAGGAUUAUGGAAUGUUCAAUGUACUGCUUGCCUUUGAGACUUGAGAAGCAUGGGAGCAAAAAAAAAACGAAAA